GCGUGAGUGAAGAAGGCCUUAGGGUUGUAAAGCUCUUUCGCCCGCGAGGAUAAUGACGGUAGCGGGAGAAGAAGCCCCGGCUAACUCCGUGCCAGCAGCCGCGGUAAUACGGAGGGGGCUAGCGUUGUUCGGAAUUACUGGGCGUAAAGCGCGCGUAGGCGGCUUAUCAAGUUAGGGGUGAAAGCCCAAGGCUUAACCUUGGAACUGCCUUUAAGACUGAUAGGCUUGAGUAUGGGAGAGGUAAGUGGAAUUCCGAGUGUAGAGGUGAAAUUCGU
This 275-nucleotide ribosomal RNA is filed under the name uncultured bacterium. RNAcentral describes it as "partial 16S ribosomal RNA". It matches the Rfam family "Bacterial small subunit ribosomal RNA", at positions 399 to 691 of the family's 1533-position model. The record is from RNAcentral.